This 45-nucleotide non-coding RNA is filed under the name Trichobilharzia regenti. The record is from RNAcentral. Lineage: Eukaryota; Metazoa; Platyhelminthes; Trematoda; Strigeidida; Schistosomatidae.
GUCUAGAUGAAGAGUUCCAUAUAGGACGAAGUGCGCACCAUACAC